This 245-nucleotide ribosomal RNA is filed under the name uncultured bacterium. Its description in RNAcentral is "partial 16S ribosomal RNA". It matches the Rfam family "Bacterial small subunit ribosomal RNA", at positions 524 to 768 of the family's 1533-position model. The record is from RNAcentral.
UACGGGGGGUGCAAGCGUUGUUCGGAAUCAUUGGGCGUAAAGAGCGUGUAGGCGGCUUGAUAAGUCAGAUGUGAAAGCCCCAGGCUUAACCUGGGAAGUGCAUUUGAAACUGUCUUGCUUGAGUAGGGGAGAGGGAAGUGGAAUUCCUGGUGUAGAGGUGAAAUUCGUAGAUAUCAGGAGGAACACCGGUGGCGAAGGCGACUUCCUGGCCCUAUACUGACGCUGAGACGCGAGAGCGUGGGUAG